Molecule: transfer RNA, 72 nt
Filed under: aff. Roholtiella sp. LEGE 12411
Lineage: Bacteria; Bacillati; Cyanobacteriota; Cyanophyceae; Nostocales; Fortieaceae
Rfam family: tRNA
About the family: Transfer RNA (tRNA) molecules are approximately 80 nucleotides in length. Their secondary structure includes four short double-helical elements and three loops (D, anti-codon, and T loops).
Source: Rfam by way of RNAcentral
GGCGGCAUAGCCAAGUGGUAAGGCAGAGGUCUGCAAAACCUCCAUUCGGGAGUUCGAGUCCCCCUGCCGCCU